UCGCUUGUUUUUACAAAAACAUGUCUUUUUGUUUAAAAUUUAAAGUCUAACCUGCCCACUGAUAUAUAUUAAAGGGCCGCGGUAUUUUGACUGUGCAAAGGUAGCAUAAUCAUUUGUCUCUUAAUUGGAGGCUGGAAUGAAUGGUUGAAUGAAAUAUUAACUGUCUCAUUUUUAAAAUUAUAAAAAUUUAGCUUUUGAGUCAAAAGGCUUAAAUAAAUUUAGAGGACGAGAAGACCCUAUAGAUCUUUAUAAUUGUAUUAAUUUUAUAAAAUAGAAAAUUAAUUAAUAAAAUUAAUAUAAUUAUUUUGUUGGGGUGAUAGGAAAAUUAAAAAAACUUUUUUUAAAUAUAAACAUUUAUUUAUGAAUAAUUGAUCCAUUAUUAAUGAUUAUAAGAUUAAGUUACCUUAGGGAUAACAGCGUAAUUUUUUUGAAGAGUUCUUAUCGAUAAAAAAGAUUGCGACCUCGAUGUUGAAUUAAAGGUUAUUUCUAGAUGUAGCAGUUUAGAGUUUAGGUCUGUUCGACCUUUGAAUCUUUACAUGAUCUGAGUUCAAACCAGA
This 557-nucleotide ribosomal RNA is filed under the name Tumeochrysa sp. Tumeo. RNAcentral's name for it is "partial large subunit ribosomal RNA". It matches the Rfam family "Bacterial large subunit ribosomal RNA", at positions 1796 to 2620 of the family's 2925-position model. Lineage: Eukaryota; Metazoa; Arthropoda; Insecta; Neuroptera; Chrysopidae. The record is from RNAcentral.